Molecule: ribosomal RNA, 253 nt
Filed under: uncultured bacterium
Lineage: Bacteria
Description: partial 16S ribosomal RNA
Rfam family: Bacterial small subunit ribosomal RNA
Source: RNAcentral
UACGUAGGGUGCAAGCGUUGUCCGGAAUUAUUGGGCGUAAAGAGCUCGUAGGCGGUCUGUCGCGUCUGCUGUGAAAACUCAGGGCUUAACCCUGAGCUUGCAGUGGGUACGGGCAGACUAGAGUGCGGUAGGGGAGACUGGAAUUCCUGGUGUAGCGGUGAAAUGCGCAGAUAUCAGGAGGAACACCGGUGGCGAAGGCGGGAUCCUGGGCCAUUGCUGACACUGAGGCGCGAAAGCUGGGGGAGCAAACAGG